UUGCCACCGUGAUGAUUGAACUCCACGACCCUUGGUUUACAAUACCAGUGCUCUAACCACUGAGCCAUGGUA
Non-coding RNA from Araneus ventricosus, 72 nucleotides. The record is from the annotation of a GenBank genome assembly. NCBI's taxonomy places the organism in Eukaryota, Metazoa, Arthropoda, Arachnida, Araneae, Araneidae.